This 253-nucleotide ribosomal RNA is filed under the name uncultured bacterium. RNAcentral describes it as "partial 16S ribosomal RNA". It matches the Rfam family "Bacterial small subunit ribosomal RNA", at positions 524 to 776 of the family's 1533-position model. The record is from RNAcentral.
UACGUAUGGGGCAAGCGUUAUCCGGAUUUACUGGGUGUAAAGGGAGCGUAGGCGGCCUGGCAAGCCUGAUGUGAAAUACCGGGGCCCAACCCCGGGGCUGCAUUGGGAACUGCCAGGCUGGAGUGCCGGAGAGGCAGGCGGAAUUCCUAGUGUAGCGGUGAAAUGCGUAGAUAUUAGGAGGAACACCAGUGGCGAAGGCGGCCUGCUAGACGGUGACUGACGCUGAGGCUCGAAAGCGUGGGGAGCAAACAGG